RNAcentral lists this long non-coding RNA (805 nucleotides) under Polistes fuscatus (common paper wasp). Its description in RNAcentral is "uncharacterized LOC122515852". Lineage: Eukaryota; Metazoa; Arthropoda; Insecta; Hymenoptera; Vespidae. The record is from RNAcentral.
UAUUAAUUAUUAUUAUUAUUAUUAUAUAUAUAUAAAUCGUAAUCGUAAGAGAGUCUAAACAAAAAAUGAAAACUAACAUAAGUAAGUAAAACUACAGCGGCUAUUGUUUAUUAAGAAAAAGAAAUUAUCUAUAAAAGAAAACAAAAAAAAAGAAACAAAAAAAAAUACAAUUAAACAAAGUAGGUCUAUCCUUUUCAUUUCAUAGCCAUUUUCUUUUUCUUCACAAUUUGAAUCCAAUACUUAUCAUCUUUUCCGUGCCAUCUUUUCCUUAUCAUUGUUCCUUGUUACAGAAAAUCCCAUAUAAACGAAUGGUCAUUUUCAACGUAAGAAGUUUGAAAGCUGGAAUUUCCAAUGUUGCUACUAAAGAAGAAAAAACUGAUCCUUCCAUCCUAGCCAUCCUGUUUUUCUCCAGGUUAAUUAAUUAAUUGAUUAAUUACAUUUAAUUCCUUUUGCUUUCCACACGUUCUUAUCCUUACCAUCUCGUUCCUUGUUACAGAAUAUUUUUAGAAAAAUACGAAAAAAUAGUACAAAUCUGAACAGGAAAGAAGGUGAGCUUGAAAUUUACAGUUUGAAAAAAAGGAAAUUGAAGAAAAAGAAUUAGUAAGCAAGGUGUACAGGUGCUUCGUGAGAUUUCGAGACUCGGUGAUGCGCGCUUCUUUGGGAGAAUUCAGAAACAGGUGGCCUUCUAUUGGUAAUUCAACGACAGUGGCGCCGAAGGUUCGCCGAGUAACAAAUUUCAAAUGUCGGUAAUGGAGAACACUCGAAUAGCAAAGUAUUUUUCUGUUUGACUUGGAAAAAUCUAAAG